Molecule: ribosomal RNA, 254 nt
Filed under: uncultured bacterium
Lineage: Bacteria
Description: partial 16S ribosomal RNA
Rfam family: Bacterial small subunit ribosomal RNA
Source: RNAcentral
UACGAAGGGGGCUAGCGUUGUUCGGAAUUACUGGGCGUAAAGCGCGCGUAGGCGGACAUUUAAGUCAGGGGUGAAAUGCCGGGGCUCAACCUCGGAACUGCCUUUGAUACUGGGUGUCUGGAGUUCGGGAGAGGUGAGUGGAAUUCCGAGUGUAGAGGUGAAAUUCGUAGAUAUUCGCAAGAACACCAGUGGCGAAGGCGGCUCACUGGCCCGAUACUGACGCUGAGGCACGAAAGCGUGGGGAGCAAACAGGG